GACGAACGCUGGCGGCGUGCCUAAUACAUGCAAGUAGAACGCUGAAGGAGGAGCUUGCUUCUCUGGAUGAGUUGCGAACGGGUGAGUAACGCGUAGGUAACCUGCCUGGUAGCGGGGGAUAACUAUUGGAAACGAUAGCUAAUACCGCAUAAGAGUAGAUGUUGCAUGACAUUUGCUUAAAAGGUGCAAUUGCAUCACUACCAGAUGGACCUGCGUUGUAUUAGCUAGUUGGUGGGGUAACGGCUCACCAAGGCGACGAUACAUAGCCGACCUGAGAGGGUGAUCGGCCACACUGGGACUGAGACACGGCCCAGACUCCUACGGGAGGCAGCAGUAGGGAAUCGUCGGCAAGGGACGGAAGUCUGACCGAGCAACGCCGCGGGAGGGAAGAAGGGUUUCGGAUCGUAAAGCUCGGUUGUAAGAGAAGAACGAGUGUGAGAGUGGAAAGUUCACAAUGUGACGGUAUCUUACCAGAAAGGGACGGCUAACUACGUG
RNAcentral lists this ribosomal RNA (495 nucleotides) under uncultured bacterium. Its description in RNAcentral is "partial 16S ribosomal RNA". It matches the Rfam family "Bacterial small subunit ribosomal RNA", at positions 28 to 507 of the family's 1533-position model. The record is from RNAcentral.